AUUGAACGCUGGCGGCAGGCCUAACACAUGCAAGUCGAACGAGUGGCGGAUGGGUGAGUAAUGUCUGGGAAACUGCCUGAUGGAGGGGGAUAACUACUGGAAACGGUAGCUAAUACCGCAUAACAUCAGAUGUGCCCAGAUGGGAUUAGCUAGUUGGUGGGGUAAAGGCUCACCAAGGCGACGAUCACUAGCUGGUCUGAGAGGAUGACAAGCCACUCUGGAACUGAGACACGGUCCAGACUCCUACGUGAGGCAGCAGUGGGGAAUAUUGCAAAAUGGGCGCAAGACUGAUGCAGCCAUGCCGCGUGUAUGAAGAAGGCCUUCGGGUUGUAAAGUACUUUCAGCGGGGAGGCGUUACCCGCAGAAGAAGCACCGGCUAACUCCGUGCCAGCAGCCGCGGUAAUUC
This 406-nucleotide ribosomal RNA is filed under the name uncultured bacterium. RNAcentral describes it as "partial 16S ribosomal RNA". It matches the Rfam family "Bacterial small subunit ribosomal RNA", at positions 30 to 526 of the family's 1533-position model. The record is from RNAcentral.